CUGAGCUGUCGGAUUCGUCAAAAUGGGUGGUGGUGGUGGUGGUGGCUAUGAUAGUUUUUUGCGACGUCUUAGAUUUGGUGGUGGUGGCUACGGCUUAGAUCUGGUGGUGGUGGCGACGACUCUAUUGUGUUGUUGGUGGCUCUGUUCAGUGGUGGCUCUUCCGGUGACGGCGUUGCUCUAUUGUGGUGGUUAAUCUGUUGAUCUGUUGGGCUUGAUCAGUUUUGUCGUAAGGUAGUGGUGGUUGAUGUGGCGAAAGUGCUCUGUUGUGGUGGUGAGUCUGUUCGUGUGCUGUGGUGUUGAUAGGUUGUCUUGAGGUGGUGGUGGCUCUGUUGGCGAAGGCUCUAUUGUGGUGGUGGCGGUAAUGGUGAUAGAGAUGGUCAAGGCGGUGGUCGUGGAUGGGAUGAGAUGGGAUUGGAUGCUUGUGACCAUGGUGCGUGG
Molecule: long non-coding RNA, 438 nt
Filed under: Olea europaea subsp. europaea
Lineage: Eukaryota; Viridiplantae; Streptophyta; Magnoliopsida; Lamiales; Oleaceae
Source: RNAcentral